This 2091-nucleotide ribosomal RNA is filed under the name Triticum aestivum (bread wheat). Its description in RNAcentral is "partial small subunit ribosomal RNA". The record is from RNAcentral. Lineage: Eukaryota; Viridiplantae; Streptophyta; Magnoliopsida; Poales; Poaceae.
AUGUUAGAUACAUCGGGUUUAUCCAAGGCAUGGUGGGGGGAGGCUAUAUUGACGGCAUGUCAUGUCCUGAAUAAAGUUCCGACAAAGGAUAGUGAGAUCACUCCCUAUGAGAAAUGGGCAAAGAGAAGGACGACACUCUCGUACUUGCGCACUUGGGGCUGUUUGGCGAAAGUCAACGUGCCGAUCCCCAAAAAGCGUAAGCUUGGACAUAAGACCGUGGACUGCAUUAAUUUGGGCUACGCUAAGAACAGCGUUGGCUAUAGAUUUCUAGUAGUGAAAUCUGAGGUACUUGACCAGAAGAUCGGUACAAUUAUGGAGUCUAAGGAUGCUACAUUCUUUGAGGAUAUUUUUCCUAUGAGAGAUAUGCAAAGCACUUCUAGACAGGAAUCUGAGGAGACUCCUGAACCUGCCAUCCCUAUGGAAUAUUAUGAACAAACACAUGAUGAAAAUCCCGAGGAGGAUGACGAGGAAACCCUUGGUAGGGGCAAGAGACAAAGGACUGCAAAGACCUUUGGUGAUGAUUUCUUCGUGUACCUCGUGGAUGAUACUCCAACUUCUAUUUCAGAAGCGUAUGCCUCUCCAGAAGCUGACUACUGGAAGGAUGCGGUCCGUAGCGAGAUGGAUUCCAUUAUGGCUAAUGGGACAUGGGAGAUCACCGACCGUCCCUAUGGUUGCAAACCACUGGGAUGUAAGUGGGUGUUCAAGAAAAAGCUUAGGCCCGAUGGUACGAUUGAAAAGUACAAGGCUAGACUUGUGGCCAAGGGCUAUGACCAGAAAGAAGAGGAAGAUUUCUUCGAUACUUAUUCACCUGUGGCUAGACUGACCACCAUUCGAGUAUUACUCUCGUUGGCGGCCUCACAUGGUCUUCUCGUCCACCAAAUGGAUGUCAAGACGGCUUUUCUGAAUGGAGAGCUAAAUGAGGAAAUCUACAUGCAACAGCCAGAUGGCUUUGUGAUAGAUGGUCAGGAAAGAAAGGUGUGUAGGUUGCUGAAAUCUCUAUAUGGCCUAAAGCAAGCACCUAAGCAAUGGCAUGAUAAGUUUAAUACAACUCUGACAUCUGUUGGCUUCGUUGUUAAUGAAGCUGACAAAUGUGUAUACUAUCGCCAUGGUGGGGGCGAAGGAGUUAUACUGUGCUUGUAUGUUGAUGACAUACUGAUAUUCGGAACCAACCUCAAAGUCAUUGAGGAGGUUAAGUCCUUUCUGUCUCAGAACUUUGAGAUGAAGGAUCUUGGUGUGGCUGAUGUUAUCUUGAAUAUCAAGCUACUGAGAGAUAAUGAGGGUGGGAUCACACUUCUGCAAUCCCAUUAUGUUGAGAAGGUGUUGAGUCGCUUUGGAUAUUCGGACUGCACACCAUCUCAAACACCAUAUGAUCCUAGCGUGUUGAUUCGAAAGUCCAAAGGCAUGGCUAAAGAUCAAUUGAGAUACUCUCAAAUCAUUGGUUCACUGAUGUACCUAGCGAGCGCAACGAGGCCUGACAUCGCGUUUGCUGUGAGCAAACUGAGCCGGUUUGUUUCCAAACCGGGUGAUGUACAUUGGCAUGCUGUAGAAAGAGUUAUGCGCUAUCUCAAAGGUACUAUGAAUUAUGGACUUCACUAUACCGGAGACCCGUCGGUACUUGAAGGGUAUAGUGAUGCGAAUUGGAUCUCUGAUGCUGAUGAGAUGAAGGCCACAACUGGGUAUAUGUUUACUCUUGGAGGUGGCGCUGUUUCUUGGAAGUCUUGCAAGCAAACGAUCUUAACGAGAUCGACAAUGGAAGCAGAAUUAACAGCAUUAGACACUUCUGGUGUUGAAGCAGGAUGGCUUCGAGAUCUUUUGAUGGACUUGCCACUGGUUGAUAAACCGGUUCCGGCUAUCCUUAUGAACUGUGAUAAUCAGACUGUUAUCACCAAGGUGAAGAGUUCAAAGGACAACAUGAAGUCCAACAAACACAUAAGAAUGAGAUUAAAGGCUGUCAGAAAAUUAAGAAACUCCGGAGUGAUAGCGUUGGACUAUGUCCAUACGGCUAAGAAUCUGGCAGAUCCCUUUACGAAAGGGCUAUCACGUGUAGUGAUAGAUAGUGCAUCGAGGGAGAUGGGUAUGAGACCCACAUGA